Molecule: ribosomal RNA, 116 nt
Filed under: Fidelibacterota bacterium
Lineage: Bacteria; Pseudomonadati; Fidelibacterota
Source: RNAcentral
UCCGGUGACUAUAGCAAAGAGGAAACACCCGAUCCCAUCCCGAACUCGGAAGUUAAGCUUUUUAGCGCCGAUGGUACUGCAUAUAUUUAAUGUGGGAGAGUAGGUCGUUGCCGGUA